RNAcentral lists this transfer RNA (87 nucleotides) under Peptococcus niger. RNAcentral describes it as "tRNA_Ser_CGA". It matches the Rfam family "tRNA". Rfam says of the family: Transfer RNA (tRNA) molecules are approximately 80 nucleotides in length. Their secondary structure includes four short double-helical elements and three loops (D, anti-codon, and T loops). RNAcentral also lists the same sequence under 3 other names. Lineage: Bacteria; Bacillati; Bacillota; Clostridia; Eubacteriales; Peptococcaceae. The record is from RNAcentral.
GGAGAGUUGUCCGAGCGGUUGAAGGUGCGACACUCGAAAUGUCGUGUACCCGAGAGGGUACCCAGGGUUCGAAUCCCUGACUCUCCG